Ipomoea nil (Japanese morning glory) is the source of this 274-nucleotide long non-coding RNA. RefSeq lists it as uncharacterized. The record is from RefSeq and is a predicted model, not a curated record. The transcript is spliced from 3 exons. NCBI's taxonomy places the organism in Eukaryota, Viridiplantae, Streptophyta, Magnoliopsida, Solanales, Convolvulaceae.
AUGAUUAGGUGCUUAUGAAGAAGAGACAAAACCUGUGCUUGCAAAAACUGAUCCCAGAGAAAUUCAAAAAUUUUACCAGGACUUCUAUGAGAAAAAUAUCAAAGAUGGCCAACAAAAAAAAAAACCAAAAGAGAUGGCUAAGAUAUAUCAAAUUGCAAGUGUGUUGUAUCAUGUGCUGAGAACAGUGGUGCCACCUUCAAAAGUGGAUGAACAUACACAAAGGUAUGCCAAAGAUGUAGAGGAGAAAGGAGAAUACCAUGAGCACUAUAACAUU